GGACUACCAGGGUAUCUAAUCCGUUUUGCUCCCCACGCUUUCGUGCCUCAGUGUCAGGAACAGAAUAGUUAACUGCCUUCGCCGUGUCGAUGUUCCCCAAUAUAUCUUCGGAUUUUACCCCUACACAUAGAGUUCCGUCAACCUCUCCUGCCCUCUAGAAAAACAGUAUUACCGGCUUCCACGAGGUUGAGCCUCGAUUUCCCACCGCUAACUUAUUUUACCACCUACGCACCCUUUACGCCCAAUAAAACCGGAUAACGUUCGCGACCUAUGUCUUACCGCGGCUGCUGGCAC
RNAcentral lists this ribosomal RNA (294 nucleotides) under uncultured bacterium. Its description in RNAcentral is "partial 16S ribosomal RNA". The record is from RNAcentral.